UACAGAGGUCUCAAGCGUUGUUCGGAUUCAUUGGGCGUAAAGGGUGCGUAGGUGGCGUGGUAAGUCGGGUGUGAAAUUUCGGAGCUUAACUCCGAAACUGCAUUCGAUACUGCCGUGCUUGAGGACUGGAGAGGAGACUGGAAUUUACGGUGUAGCAGUGAAAUGCGUAGAGAUCGUAAGGAAGACCAGUGGCGAAGGCGGGUCUCUGGACAGUUCCUGACACUGAGGCACGAAGGCCAGGGGAGCAAACGG
Molecule: ribosomal RNA, 252 nt
Filed under: uncultured bacterium
Lineage: Bacteria
Description: partial 16S ribosomal RNA
Rfam family: Bacterial small subunit ribosomal RNA
Source: RNAcentral